RNAcentral lists this ribosomal RNA (505 nucleotides) under uncultured soil bacterium. RNAcentral describes it as "bacterial SSU rRNA". It matches the Rfam family "Bacterial small subunit ribosomal RNA", at positions 26 to 517 of the family's 1533-position model. The record is from RNAcentral.
AGAUUGAACGCUGGCGGCAGGCCUAACACAUGCAAGUCGAGCGGUAGAGAGGUGCUUGCAUCUCUUGAGAGCGGCGGACGGGUGAGUAAUGCCUAGGAAUCUGCCUAGUGGUGGGGGGAUAACGUUCGGAAACGGACGCUAAUACCGCAUACGUCCUACGGGAGAAAGCGGGGGACCUUCGGGCCUCGCGCCAUUAGAUGAGCCUAGGUCGGAUUAGCUAGUUGGUGAGGUAAUGGCUCACCGAGGCGACGAUCCGUAACUGGUCUGAGAGGAUGAUCAGUCACACUGGAACUGAGACACGGUCCAGGCUCCUACGGGAGGCAGCAGUGGGGAAUAUUGGACAAUGGGCGAGAGCCUGAUCCAGCCAUGCCGCGUGUGUGAAGAAGGUCUUCGGAUUGAAAGCAACUUUAAGUUGGGAAGGAAGGGUUGUAAACUUAAGUACGUUGACAACUUUUAGACGUUACCGACAAGAAUAAGCACCGGCUAACUUCGUGCCAGCAGACCG